Mesocricetus auratus (golden hamster) is the source of this 973-nucleotide long non-coding RNA. RefSeq lists it as uncharacterized. NCBI's taxonomy places the organism in Eukaryota, Metazoa, Chordata, Mammalia, Rodentia, Cricetidae. The record is from RefSeq and is a predicted model, not a curated record. The transcript has 3 exons.
UCUACUUCCUGACUGGGGAUACAAUUCACAUAGCUGUCACAAGCUCCUGUCAUCGUGACUUCCCACCAUGAUGAACUGUACCCCAGGACUGCGAGCCUAACUAAUCUCUUCCUCCAUUAAGUUGCUUUUGUCAAAUAUUCUGUCACAGUGAAAAGGGAGAUCCCAGCAUACCAACCCCAGAGAUGCCACAACUGUCUGCACCACUCAGGAGCGGCCAGAACAGCACUCUGAAGGCUCCAGGCUUCUCUUUUGCUGUCUGUGGAUUCCUAACUUGAAAAAAGAGGAAGGGAGAAGCUGAAAACUGAGAACCUAUAGAAGAGAUAAAAAGCUCAAGUGAUCCCAGGAAAAGAGACUGGACAGUCAGCCAGGAAAUGCAAGAGAGAAGGAAAAGGACAAAACACAAAGGACGAGAGCUUCCCCAUGUAGGGGGCAAAGUGGGGCCUCUUGCAUCUGUUUGAAGUACUAGAAGCUUUUAUAAAAGGCUGGGAAAGCAGCCAUGACUUGGUUCGAGGUGUCUCACAAGGCUGAAAUCCGGUAUUGGCAAGGCCUGCUGUCAUUGCGAGGCUGGACGGGUCAGAUCUGCUUCCAAGUUCACUCUAACAGCUUCUGGCAGGCUUCCAGUCUUCUCAGAUUUCUGGCUGGAGACAUCCUUCUUGCCACAUGGGCCUCAUCAUGGAACAGUUUAAAAUAAGGCAUCUGUCUUCCUCAGAGUGAGAAAGCGAAGACACCAAGACAGAAGCCACAAUCUUCUUGUAGUCCAGUCCUGGAGAUGACCCCCCCAUCAUGUUUGCCAUAACCUACUUGUUAGAGGCAAAUCACUGGGCCCAGGCCACAUACUCAAGAAAAGGAGCUCACAGAGCAAAGCCCUUGCUCAGCAGUUGAGGGCAACCUUUAUUCUCCCCUGGAGCUCUGAGAAGUUGUUUUGGAUUUAAUGAAUAAAAUAGGAAGUCCAGAGGCCUGGAGAAUGACUCAU